Long non-coding RNA from Conger conger (European conger), 898 nucleotides. RefSeq lists it as uncharacterized. The transcript is spliced from 2 exons. The record is from RefSeq and is a predicted model, not a curated record. NCBI's taxonomy places the organism in Eukaryota, Metazoa, Chordata, Actinopteri, Anguilliformes, Congridae.
GGUGGUAUGCACCUUAUACACUGGUUAUAUUUCGUCUUUAAAUGAAAAGAAGAAGUGGAGCAGUUGCUCUGUGAUCCGCCAUUAAACGCAUAGCAGACGAAAAAGUGGUUUAAGUUAUUGUUCGACUGAACAGUAGAAUGGGGAAGGCGUCUGAUCUAAGCGAUUUUGAUCGUGGUACGAUUGUUGGUGCCAGGCGUGGUGGCGCCAGUGUCUCAGAAACAGCUGCCCUCUUGGGAUUUUCAUGCACUACCGUCUCUAGAGUGUACAGAGAAUGGAGCCAAAAACAAAAAACAUCCAGUCAGCGGAAGCUUUGUGGGCGAAAACGCCUUGUUAAUGAGACAGGUGAGAAGAUAAUCGAUACAAUCAUUAAAGCUGAUAGAAUGGCCACCCAUGCUGAAAUAACAGCUAUUUACAACAGUAGUGUGCAAAAGAGCAUCUCUAAACAUACAACGCGCCGAAUCUUGAAGCGGAUGGGCUACAAGAAGACCGUGCCAGCUUCCACCUCUGCUAAGAACAGGAAGGUCCCAGCGCAGAGCUGCUGUCAUGAGAUGGAAAAGUGUCCAGAGAAAUGUACACCAGAAGUGCUGUUGCAGACCAGCUGAAGCAUGCACCAGGAAGAAGUGGGGCUCGGGCUAUAGGAAAGGAAAAUAACUUUGAAUAAGCUUCUACAGUAUGUGCUCCCCAUUUAAAAUAGAACAUUUAGUCAUUAUCUACUUGUCAGUCAAAACACACAAUGAGUUAUCUAAAUAUUAAAAUAAACAAAUAAAGCUUGUUUGAACUGUACAUUUGAUGAAACUAUGCUACCUGACAAAUGUAUAAUAUGCUAUAAUUAUUUCUAAAUGAAAAAGUACAGUGCCCUUAAAAAAAAAAACGAAAAAAAAAAAUGCUAAUUUAAAAA